RNAcentral lists this ribosomal RNA (622 nucleotides) under Erysiphe densa. Its description in RNAcentral is "eukaryotic LSU rRNA". The stretch from base 238 to 391 matches the Rfam family "5.8S ribosomal RNA". The record is from RNAcentral. Lineage: Eukaryota; Fungi; Ascomycota; Leotiomycetes; Helotiales; Erysiphaceae.
CUGCGGAAGGAUCAUUACAGAGCGUGAGGCUCACGCAUGGCAUCUGCCGUGUGCUGGGCCGACCCUCCCACCCGUGUCGAUAUCUAUUUUGUUGCUUUGGCGGGCCGGGUAUGGCCACGCUGCCCUCCGUGGCAAGCGUGUGUUGCUGCCCACCGGCUUCGGCUGGGGCGUGUCCGCCAGAGACCUCACCCAAAUUCUAGUUGUCGUGUAGUCUAAGCUUUAUUAUGCAAUUGAUAAAACUUUCAACAACGGAUCUCUUGGCUCUGGCAUCGAUGAAGAACGCAGCGAAAUGCGAUAAGUAAUGUGAAUUGCAGAAUUUAGUGAAUCAUCGAAUCUUUGAACGCACAUUGCGCCCCUUGGUAUUCCGAGGGGCAUGCCUGUUCGAGCGUCAUAACACCGCCUUCAAGCUGCCAUUGUGUGGCUUUGGUGUUGGGGCUCGCCGCGUAGCGCGGUGGCUCUUAAAGACAGUGGCGGUCCCAGCGUGGGCUCUACGCGUAGUAACUUGUUUCUCGCGACAGAGUGACGACGGCGACUUGCCAAUAACCCCCACCUUUGUCCGGUAGCACGGAUUACAGGUUGACCUCGAAUCAGGUAGGAAUACCCGCUGAACUUAAGCAUAUCA